Molecule: ribosomal RNA, 497 nt
Filed under: uncultured soil bacterium
Lineage: Bacteria
Description: bacterial SSU rRNA
Rfam family: Bacterial small subunit ribosomal RNA
Source: RNAcentral
AGAUUGAACGCUGGCGGCAUGCCUUACACAUGCAAGUCGAACGGCAGCACGGGGGCAACCCUGGUGGCGAGUGGCGAACGGGUGAGUAAUGCAUCGGAACGUGCCCAGUAGUGGGGGAUAACUAGUCGAAAGAUUAGCUAAUACCGCAUACGACCUAUGGGUGAAAGCGGGGGAUUCGCAAGAACCUCGCGCUAUCGGAGCGGCCGAUGUCUGAUUAGCUAGUUGGCGGGUAAAAGCCCACCAAGGCUUCGAUCAGUAGCUGGUCUGAGAGGACGACCAGCCACACUGGGACUGAGACACGGCCCAGACUCCUACGGGAGGCAGCAGUGGGGAAUUUUGGACAAUGGGCGCAAGCCUGAUCCAGCCAUGCCGCGUGCGGGAAGAAGGCCUUCGGUUGUAAACCGCUUUUGGCAGGAACGAAACGGCGCGAGCGAAUAUCUCGCGUUAAUGACGGUACCUGCAGAAUAAGCACCGGCUAACUACGUGCCAGCAGACCG